This 380-nucleotide ribosomal RNA is filed under the name uncultured archaeon. RNAcentral's name for it is "bacterial SSU rRNA". It matches the Rfam family "Archaeal small subunit ribosomal RNA", at positions 345 to 727 of the family's 1478-position model. The record is from RNAcentral.
AACCUCUGCAAUAGGCGAAAGCUUGACAGGGUUACUCUGAGUGAUCUCCGAUAAGGAGAUCUUUUGGCAUCUCUAAAAAUGAUGCAGAAUAAGGGGUGGGCAAGUCUGGUGUCAGCCGCCGCGGUAAUACCAGCACCCCGAGUGGUCGGGACGAUUAUUGGGCCUAAAGCAUCCGUAGCCGGUUCUGCAAGUCUUCCGUUAAAUCCAGCUGCUCAACAGAUGGGCUGCGGGAGAUACUAUAGAGCUAGGAGGCGGGAGAGGCAAGCGGUACUCAGUGGGUAGGGGUAAAAUCCGUUGAUCCAUUGAAGACCACCAGUGGCGAAGGCGGCUUGCCAGAACGCGCUCGACGGUGAGGGAUGAAAGCUGGGGGAGCAAACCGG